Molecule: ribosomal RNA, 1014 nt
Filed under: Triticum aestivum (bread wheat)
Lineage: Eukaryota; Viridiplantae; Streptophyta; Magnoliopsida; Poales; Poaceae
Description: partial small subunit ribosomal RNA
Source: RNAcentral
AUGCCGAUGCCGACGCGGACGUCCAUGGAUGCCGCCAGGACGGUCGUCGUGACCGCCUACCAGGAGCUGCCGCGCCGCCGUUCCGGCAGCCACGGCUCGUCGUCGUCCAGGACGCGCUCGGUCGCGGGAGGCUACAACCGCCGGGCGAUGCUGCUCGCGUACGCGCAGCACCUGCGGCGGCGCGGCGGGCAGAGGUCGUCGUCGUCGUCGUCGUCCUUGGGACCGCCGCGCGCGCUGGAGUGGGGCGAAUGGAAGCGGGCGGACGAUCCCGGCGCCGGCAACGACGACAAGGUACGGAUCGGCACAACAUUUCUUAUUUCGUGGUGGCGGGGCGGAGGAGGGGCUGCUGCUCCAGGCUCCGGCUGUGGGCGCGGCUCUGGAUCAGGACGUUUUUCCGUCGCGUCAGGAGGAUCAGGGAGAACGCGUCGUGCAGGAAAGCAGAUUGAACGGGUUGGUCAUGCACGACAGUUCGACGAUACGAGGAAGAAUCAGUUGGUCAUCGGCGAAUCAGGCCUGCAUCUGCAUGUGUUCCGGAAUUUUUCUGUGUGUGUGCUGAACUCGUGCGUGCAUCUCCACAUGUACGACAUGUACCAUAACAAAAAUGCAGAUGGGUUGGAGCCGUACGACGGGAUCUGGAAGACUCUUGAGUCAAAACCUUCCGAAUUAAGAAGGUUAGAGACGCCUCAUCUCCGGUGCUUUGCCGGCAAGGCCAGUGGAUCUCCAUUGUCUCCGCAACGGCCGUGGGCAAUAGGCUCUGAUGCUAGCCAUUGGAUCCACGACCCAACGACCCAGAAUCCCCCGUACCAUGGCGUCAUGGGAGGUGUGGGAGCACAUGCUAUUACCCCUUGGUUGAUGAUACUCCAUUUCAACUUGAUAUUUUCACACCAAAUUAAGUUGAAGCUUGAUAAUUCCAAUGAUAACAACCCCCUAAGGGCAUCUCUAGCCCUUCCCUUCAAAUUUAACCCCCUCCCCCAAGCCCCUUCGACCCUUAACUCCUUAAAUUUGAGAAGUUAA